UAAUACAGAGGGUGCAAGCGUUAAUCGGAAUUACUGGGCGUAAAGCGUGCGUAGGUGGUUCUUUAAGUCAGGUGUGAAAUCCCUGGGCUCAACCUGGGAACUGCAUUUGAUACUGAAGAGCUAGAGUGUGGUAGAGGAUAGUGGAAUUCCCGGUGUAGCGGUGAAAUGCGUAGAUAUCGGGAGGAACAUCAGUGGCGAAGGCGGCUAUCUGGACCAACACUGACACUGAGGCACGAAAGCGUGGGUAGCAAACAGGAUUAGAUACCCUGGUAGUCCACGCCGUAAACGAUGGGCACUAGACGUCGGAAGGUUUAAUCCUUUUGGUGUCGCAGCUAACGCAAUAAGUGCCCCGCCUGGGGAGUACGGCCGCAAGGUUA
Molecule: ribosomal RNA, 377 nt
Filed under: uncultured bacterium
Lineage: Bacteria
Description: bacterial SSU rRNA
Rfam family: Bacterial small subunit ribosomal RNA
Source: RNAcentral